Molecule: ribosomal RNA, 497 nt
Filed under: uncultured bacterium
Lineage: Bacteria
Description: partial 16S ribosomal RNA
Rfam family: Bacterial small subunit ribosomal RNA
Source: RNAcentral
GAUGAACGCUGGCGGCGUGCUUAAUACAUGCAAGUCGAGCGAACGGACGAGAAGGUUGCUUCUCUGAUGUUAGGUGCGGACGGGCGAGUAACACGUGGAUAACCGACUUACCAGACUGAGAUAAGUUUGGGACACCGGAGCUUAUCCCGUAUAAUAGUGUGAAUCGCAUGUUUCAAAAGUGAAGGACGGUCUUGCUGUCACUUAUAGAUGGAUCCGCGCUGCAUUAGCUAGUUGGUAAGGUAAUGGCUUACCAAGGCAGCGAUGCAUAGCCGAGCUGAGAGAGUGACCGGCGACACUGGAACGGAACCACGGUCCUGAGUCCUAGGGGAGGCAGCAGUAGGGAACAGUACGCAGUGGGCGAAAGCAUGACGCAGAAGCGUGGGGUGAGUGAUGAGGGUCUUCGGAUCGUGAUACCGUGUUAUUAGGGAAGAACAUAUGUGUAAGUGACUGUGAAGAGCGUGACGGUAACUAGUCAGAAAGCCACGGCUAACUACGUG